RNAcentral lists this ribosomal RNA (531 nucleotides) under Triticum aestivum (bread wheat). RNAcentral's name for it is "partial small subunit ribosomal RNA". Lineage: Eukaryota; Viridiplantae; Streptophyta; Magnoliopsida; Poales; Poaceae. The record is from RNAcentral.
AUGAAACAUCAUUCUUUUUUACACAAACUGAGUGCACUUUCAAAAAAAGAUCUCCAAAAUAUGCAAAACAUGGAUGGAGUGAACUACGUCCCCCAACUCUUUCAUGAAAAAAUGCACUACAUGUCUGCACGCAUGUGCCGGACGGGUGACAAAUUGCACGCGUGGCCAGCGGGACUGCAAGCAGAUGGGCUGUGCACUCCACAAGAGCAUCGAGUAAACUACACGAUGAGCCAACAUACAUACAACACCGAUGUUUCCGCACUGCAAGAACCCACAUGCUGCACUGCACGGGAACGUGCCCGUGCACACCGCACCACACCAUCUGUCAAACCGCACACCACUUUCACACCAAGUGCACUUCAAGUUGAUGCCCGGAGGAACUCUCACGCGCGGGGUGCAUCGCGUUUGGUACCGAACUGCAUGCUGGCAUCGUUUUGUGCCUGCCGCUCGACAGCGGACUGCAGCAGCGCUCCACCGUAUGUUGCACGCCGUUUGAACCUCUUUUUUCAUAUCCCUUUGAGAAAUACCUAA